Molecule: ribosomal RNA, 238 nt
Filed under: uncultured bacterium
Lineage: Bacteria
Description: partial 16S ribosomal RNA
Rfam family: Bacterial small subunit ribosomal RNA
Source: RNAcentral
GAUCCUGGCUCAGGAUGAACGCUGGCGGCGUGCCUAACACAUGCAAGUCGAGCGAAGCGGUUUUAAGGAAGUUUUCGGAUGGAAUUAAAACUGACUGAGCGGCGGACGGGUGAGUAACGCGUGGGUAACCUGCCUCAUACAGGGGGAUAACAGUUAGAAAUGGCUGCUAAUACCGCAUAAGCACACAGCUUCGCAUGGAGCAGUGUGAAAAACUCCGGUGGUAUGAGAUGGACCCNGU